This 198-nucleotide ribosomal RNA is filed under the name uncultured bacterium. RNAcentral describes it as "partial 16S ribosomal RNA". It matches the Rfam family "Bacterial small subunit ribosomal RNA", at positions 328 to 539 of the family's 1533-position model. The record is from RNAcentral.
ACGCUCGACACCUACGGAGGCAGCAGUGGGGAAUAUUGCACAACGGGGGAAACCCGUGAUGCAGCGACGCCGCGUGGAGGAAGAAGGUCUUCGGAUUGUAAACUCCUGUUGUUGGGGAAAAAGAGGAUGGUACCCAACAAGGAAGUGACGGCUAACUACGUGCCCGCAGCCGCGGUAAUCUGAGCGGGCUGGCAAGGC